RNAcentral lists this ribosomal RNA (691 nucleotides) under uncultured bacterium. Its description in RNAcentral is "partial 16S ribosomal RNA". It matches the Rfam family "Bacterial small subunit ribosomal RNA", at positions 140 to 851 of the family's 1533-position model. The record is from RNAcentral.
GGGAUAGCCGCCCGAAAGGACGGGUAAUACCGGAUACCCCCGGGCGCCGCAUGGCGCCCGGGCUAAAGCCCCGACGGGAGGGGAUGGCUCCGCGGCCCAUCAGGUAGACGGCGGGGUGACGGCCCACCGUGCCGACAACGGGUAGCCGAGUUGAGAGACCGACCGGCCAGAUUGGGACUGAGACACGGCCCAGACUCCUACGGGAGGCAGCAGUGGGGAAUCUUGCGCAAUGGGGGGAACCCUGACGCAGCGACGCCGCGUGCGGGACGGAGGCCUUCGGGUCGUAAACCGCUUUCAGCAGGGAAGAGUCAAGACUGUACCUGCAGAAGAAGCCCCGGCUAACUACGUGCCAGCAGCCGCGGUAAUACGUAGGGGGCGAGCGUUAUCCGGAUUCAUUGGGCGUAAAGCGCGCGUAGGCGGCCCGGCAGGCCGGGGGUCGAAGCGGGGGGCUCAACCCCCCGAAGCCCCCGGAACCUCCGCGGCUUGGGUCCGGUAGGGGAGGGUGGAACACCCGGUGUAGCGGUGGAAUGCGCAGAUAUCGGGUGGAACACCGGUGGCGAAGGCGGCCCUCUGGGCCGAGACCGACGCUGAGGCGCGAAAGCUGGGGGAGCGAACAGGAUUAGAUACCCUGGUAGUCCCAGCCGUAAACGAUGGACGCUAGGUGUGGGGGGACGAUCCCCCCGUGCCGCAG